Molecule: ribosomal RNA, 556 nt
Filed under: Chromis elerae
Lineage: Eukaryota; Metazoa; Chordata; Actinopteri; Pomacentridae
Description: partial large subunit ribosomal RNA
Rfam family: Bacterial large subunit ribosomal RNA
Source: RNAcentral
UAAGAGGUCCCGCCUGCCCCGUGACCAUGAGUUUAACGGCCGCGGUAUUUUGACCGUGCAAAGGUAGCGCAAUCACUUGUCUUUUAAAUGAAGACCUGUAUGAAUGGCACAACGAGGGCCAAACUGUCUCCUCUCCCCAGUCAAUGAAAUUGAUCUCUCCGUGCAGAAGCGGGGAUGACACCAUAAGACGAGAAGACCCUGUGGAGCUUUAGACACCUAAACAGACCAUGUCAAACAACCUCCCCCCAAGAAAAUGAACACAUUGGCACCCUGUCCCAUGUCUUCGGUUGGGGCGACCAUGGGGAAGCAGAAAACCCCCACGUGGAAUGAACAACACUAUUCUAAAACUAGAGCCACAGCUCAAACUAACAGAACUUCUGACCAACUUCAGAUCCGGCUUCAACGCCGAUUAACGGACCAAGUUACCCCAGGGAUAACAGCGCAAUCCUCUCUGAGAGUCCUUAUCGACGAGGGGGUUUACGACCUCGAUGUUGGAUCAGGACAUCCUAAUGGUGCAGCCGCUAUUAAGGGUUCGUUUGUUCAACGAUUAAAGUCC